This 506-nucleotide ribosomal RNA is filed under the name uncultured bacterium. RNAcentral's name for it is "bacterial SSU rRNA". It matches the Rfam family "Bacterial small subunit ribosomal RNA", at positions 36 to 524 of the family's 1533-position model. The record is from RNAcentral.
UAAAAAAAACUGGCGGCAGCCUAACCAUGCAAGUCCAACGGUAACAGGAAGCAGCUUGCUGCUUCGCUGACGAGUGGCGGACGGGUGAGUAAUGUCUGGGAAACUGCCUGAUGGAGGGGGAUAACUACUGGAAACGGUGGCUAAUACCGCAUAACGUCGCAAGACCAAAGAGGGGGACCUUCGGGCCUCUUGCCAUCAGAUGUGCCCAGAUGGGAUUAGCUUGUUGGUGAGGUAACGGCUCACCAAGGCGACGAUCCCUAGCUGGUCUGAGAGGAUGACCGGCCACACUGGAACUGAGACACGGUCCAGACUCCUACGGGAGGCAGCAGUGGGGAAUAUUGCACAAUGGGGGGAACCCUGAUGCAGCCAUGCCGCGUGAAUGAAGAAGGCCUUCGGGUUGUAAAGUUCUUUCGGUGAUGAGGAAGGCAGAUAAGUUAAUAGCUUGUUUGAUUGACGUUAGUCACAGAAGAAGCACCGGCUAACUCCGUGCCAGCAGCCGCGGUAAU